CCUACGGGGGACAGCAGUGGGGAAUAUUGCACAAUGGGGGAAACCCUGAUGCAGCGACGCCGCGUGAAGGAAGAAGUAUUUCGGUAUGUAAACUUCUAUCAGCAGGGAAGAAAAUGACGGUACCUGACUAAGAAGCCCCGGCUAACUACGUGCCAGCAGCCGCGGUAAUACGUAGGGGGCAAGCGUUAUCCGGAUUUACUGGGUGUAAAGGGAGCGUAGGCGGUUUAGAAAGUCAGAAGUGAAAGCCCGGGGCUCAACUCCGGGACUGCUUUUGAAACUGUUGAACUAGAGUGCAGGAGAGGUAAGUGGAAUUCCUAGUGUAGCGGUGAAAUGCGUAGAUAUUAGGAGGAACACCAGUGGCGAAGGCGGCUUACUGGACUGUAAAUGACGCUGAGGCUCGAAAGCGUGGGGAGCAAACAGGAUUAGAUACCCGAGUAGUC
RNAcentral lists this ribosomal RNA (440 nucleotides) under uncultured bacterium. Its description in RNAcentral is "partial 16S ribosomal RNA". It matches the Rfam family "Bacterial small subunit ribosomal RNA", at positions 338 to 795 of the family's 1533-position model. The record is from RNAcentral.